UACGGAGGAUGCGAGCGUUAUCCGGAUUUAUCGGGUUUAAAGGGUGCGUAGGCGGACAGUCAAGUCAGCGGUAAAAUUGAGAGGCUCAACCUCUUCCCGCCGUUGAAACUGGUGGUCUUGAGUGGAUGAGAAGUACGCGGAAUGCGUGGUGUAGCGGUGAAAUGCAUAGAUAUCACGCAGAACUCCGAUUGCGAAGGCAGCGUACCGGCAUCCAACUGACGCUGAGGCACGAAAGCGUGGGGAUCAAACAGG
This 252-nucleotide ribosomal RNA is filed under the name uncultured bacterium. RNAcentral's name for it is "partial 16S ribosomal RNA". It matches the Rfam family "Bacterial small subunit ribosomal RNA", at positions 524 to 776 of the family's 1533-position model. The record is from RNAcentral.